This 73-nucleotide transfer RNA is filed under the name Candidatus Margulisiibacteriota bacterium. RNAcentral describes it as "tRNA-Lys". It matches the Rfam family "tRNA". Rfam says of the family: Transfer RNA (tRNA) molecules are approximately 80 nucleotides in length. Their secondary structure includes four short double-helical elements and three loops (D, anti-codon, and T loops). Further hydrogen bonds mediate the characteristic L-shaped molecular structure. tRNAs have two regions of fundamental functional importance: the anti-codon, which is responsible for specific mRNA codon recognition, and the 3' end, to which the tRNAs corresponding amino acid is attached (by aminoacyl-tRNA synthetases). tRNAs cope with the degeneracy of the genetic code in two manners: having more than one tRNA (with a specific anti-codon) for a particular amino acid; and 'wobble' base-pairing, i.e. permitting non-standard base-pairing at the 3rd anti-codon position. RNAcentral also lists the same sequence under 1 other name. Lineage: Bacteria; Bacillati; Candidatus Margulisiibacteriota. The record is from RNAcentral.
GACCCGCUAGCUCAUCAGGUAGAGCACCUGCCUUUUAAGCAGGUGGUGGUGCGUUCGAGUCGCACGCGGGUCA